RNAcentral lists this unclassified non-coding RNA (246 nucleotides) under Hevea brasiliensis (rubber tree). The record is from RNAcentral. Lineage: Eukaryota; Viridiplantae; Streptophyta; Magnoliopsida; Malpighiales; Euphorbiaceae.
AUACCAACCAAUAGAUCAGCAGCAAACAACUCAAAUUCUGCCCAGAAGUUCUCUCCCCUUUUCUGAACUUCAGCGAAUGUAGCACAGCAUGAAUCUAUGACUACCUCUGUUCCGACUUUAAAAAGAAAAGAUGGAUCUGCUAACAUUCGGUCACGAAACAUGGAGCAGGAAUUCAUCAAGAAGCCUAACAACCAACCUGACCCCUGCAAGUCCAAGUAGCGAUGAAGAAAAACUUCCCGAAUCCCG